UGGGGAAUCUUGGACAAUGGGCGCAAGCCUGAUCCAGCCAUGCCGCGUGAGCGAUGAAGGCCUUAGGGUUGUAAAGCUCUUUCACCGGUGAAGAUAAUGACGGUAGCCGGAGAAGAAGCCCCGGCUAACUCCGUGCCAGCAGCCGCGGUAAUACGGAGGGGGCUAGCGUUGUUCGGAAUUACUGGGCGUAAAGCGCGCGUAGGCGGACUGAUCAGUCAGGGGUGAAAUCCCGGGGGCUCAACCCCGGAACUGCCUUUGAUACUGUUAGACUAGAGUUCGGGAGAGGAUAGUGGAAUUCCCAGUGUAGAGGUGAAAUUCGUAGAUAUUGGGAAGAACACCAGUGGCGAAGGCGGCUAUCUGGACCGAUACUGACGCUGAGGCGCGAAAGCGUGGGGAGCAAACAGGAUUAGAUACCCUGGUAGUCCACACCGUAAACGAUGAAUGCCAGUCGUCGGGUAGCAUGCUAUUCGGUGACACACCUAACGGAUUAAGCAUUCCGCCUGGGAGUACGGUCGCAAGAUUAAAAGCUCAAA
Molecule: ribosomal RNA, 533 nt
Filed under: uncultured bacterium
Lineage: Bacteria
Description: bacterial SSU rRNA
Rfam family: Bacterial small subunit ribosomal RNA
Source: RNAcentral